AGCAGUAGGGAAUCUUCCGCAAUGGACGAAAGUCUGACGGAGCAACGCCGCGUGAGUGAUGAAGGUUUUCGGAUCGGAAAACUCUGUUGUUAGGGAAGAACAAGUACCAGAGUAACUGCUGGUACCUUGACGGUACCUAACCAGAAAGCCACGGCUAACUACGUGCCAGCAGCCGCGGUAAUACGUAGGUGGCAAGCGUUGUCCGGAAUUAUUGGGCGUAAAGCGCGCGCAGGCGGUCCUUUAAGUCUGAUGUGAAAGCCCACGGCUCAACCGUGGAGGGUCAUUGGAAACUGCGGGACUUGAGUACAGAAGAGAAGAGUGUAAUUCCACGUGUAGCGGUGAAAUGCGUAGAGAUGUGGAGGAACACCAGUGGCGAAGGCGACUCUUUGGUCUGUAACUGACGCUGAGG
Molecule: ribosomal RNA, 409 nt
Filed under: uncultured bacterium
Lineage: Bacteria
Description: bacterial SSU rRNA
Rfam family: Bacterial small subunit ribosomal RNA
Source: RNAcentral